This 1227-nucleotide long non-coding RNA is filed under the name Mytilus galloprovincialis (Mediterranean mussel). Lineage: Eukaryota; Metazoa; Mollusca; Bivalvia; Mytilida; Mytilidae. The record is from RNAcentral.
AUAUAAACCUGGAGAAAAUGAAUAAUCAAACAUUUCAUAAGUGAUUUUUCUGACGAGAAAUGACUACAAUGACGUAAUUGUCAGCGAAAGAUUGGUGGCACCAAUUGUGUAUCUUGUGAUUCUCCUGUUAUAGGAGUUCCUGGAAACAUAUUUGUUUUAAUCAUAUACAAAAAUUACAAUAAACACGUCUACAGAAAGAUCAUAUGGACCAUUGCUGUUAUAGACUUGGUGUUUUGUUUGAUUGGUAUUCCAUUCAAUCUUGGCAGGAUGUUCAAUUAUUACAAUUUUAAGUCAUUACGCAGUUGUCAAAUUGUGGCAGGUAUUUUAGAUAGUGGAAUUAUAACAUCUACUCAUUUACUAGUUUUGUUAACCAUUCACAGAUGUCGACAAGUAUGCUUACCUCUGAAACGACAGAUAACAUUGAAAAAUGUGCCAUAUUUUAUUGGUUUAUGCUGUGCAAUUGGAGUGGCACUCGGGAUACCCAAGAUUACUGUUUUAGAACCGUUGCUGAAACAGAUCUCGGAAACAAUGUUACCGGCUAUACAUGUUCUGUAGCAUGGAAAGAUUCACCACAGGCUUGGAAAAACUACAACACGUUCCUAACUUUUUUGUUUUUAUCCUAUACAUUACUUUUGUUUAUUCUGUAUAUUAUGAUUGGAAGGACUAUUCAUAACCAAAAUAAGAAACGCAAAUUAGACUUGCAUUCUUCACGUUCAAGGCAGAUCAACAAUCCAUUCACACAAAAUGACUAAAAUUGCUAUAACUGUUAGUGCAGUGUUUGCCUUUAGCUAUUUACCAUUAUAUCUAAAUGAAUGGGCAACAAAGGGUUUGGUUGAAAAACAAUUAGGUCUAUUCUUAUUUUCUUUGUUGAAAAUUGUACAAAGAUCAUACCUAUUAAUCAUGUCGCUAAUCCUUUUAGAUAUGCCAUCUUUGAUAAAAGAUUUCGACAACAAACAGUAAAUAUUCUUACAUGUAAAACGACCGAUAAAGAUCACGAUAAAAGACCAUCGGAAACAGAAAAUAGUACACAAAAGGCGUCGACAUCAGCUACAGGUAUAUAAACAUGACAAUGAUUUCAUUUUUAUUAUAAAAGAAGGAGUUCGUAUACAUCAUUCCGCUUUCAAAUUACAUUGAUUUGUAGAUUUGAUAUAAAAUCAAAGAGACAGAAAAGCUACAGUGUUUGUUUAUAUCUUCUCUUGUGUUAGCUUUAUUAUUUUUCGUGAUUUU